This 855-nucleotide ribosomal RNA is filed under the name uncultured Oceanospirillaceae bacterium. Its description in RNAcentral is "bacterial SSU rRNA". It matches the Rfam family "Bacterial small subunit ribosomal RNA", at positions 56 to 904 of the family's 1533-position model. The record is from RNAcentral. Lineage: Bacteria; Pseudomonadati; Pseudomonadota; Gammaproteobacteria; Oceanospirillales; Oceanospirillaceae.
UGCAGUCGAGCGGAACGAUGAUAGCUUGCUAUCAGGCGUCGAGCGGCGGACGGGUGAGUAAUGCUUAGGAAUCUACCGAGUAGUGGGGGAUAGCCCAGAGAAAUUUGGAUUAAUACCGCAUACGCCCUACGGGGGAAAGCAGGGGAUCUUCGGACCUUGCGCUAUUUGAUGAGCCUGAGUGAGAUUAGCUAGUUGGUGGGGUAAAGGCCUACCAAGGCGACGAUCUCUAGCUGGUCUGAGAGGAUGAUCAGCCACACUGGGACUGAGACACGGCCCAGACUCCUACGGGAGGCAGCAGUGGGGAAUAUUGCACAAUGGGCGCAAGCCUGAUGCAGCCAUGCCGCGUGUGUGAAGAAGGCUUUCGGGUUGUAAAGCACUUUCAGCAGCGAGGAAAGGUUAGUAGUUAAUACCUGCUAGCUGUGACGUUAACUGCAGAAGAAGCACCGGCUAAUUUAGUGCCAGCAGCCGCGGUGAUACUAAAGGUGCAAGCGUUAAUCGGAAUUACUGGGCGUAAAGCGCGCGUAGGUGGUUUGUUAAGCGGAAUGUGAAAGCCCAGGGCUCAACCUUGGAACUGCAUUGCGAACUGACAAACUAGAGUACGGUAGAGGUGAGUGGAAUUUCCUGUAUAGCGGUGAAAUGCGUAGAGAUGGGAAGGAACACCAGUGGCGAAGGCGACUCACUGGACUGAUACUGACACUGAGGUGCGAAAGCGUGGGGAGCGAACAGGAUUAGAUACCCUGGUAGUCCACGCCGUAAACGAUGUCUACUAGCCGUUGGGUGACUUGAUCACUUAGUGGCGCAGCUAACGCGAUAAGUAGACCGCCUGGGGAGUACGGUCGCAAGAUUAAAACUCAA